UUUGGAGUGAAUCCUCGAGGC
RNAcentral lists this unclassified non-coding RNA (21 nucleotides) under Mus musculus (house mouse). Its description in RNAcentral is "oocyte_clustered_small_RNA9431". The record is from RNAcentral. Lineage: Eukaryota; Metazoa; Chordata; Mammalia; Rodentia; Muridae.